CCAGGAGGAGUGGAAAGCUUUUGCUUGACCAAAGUCCCCUUUUUUGCCUCUCCCACCAAGGUCCGUGCAGGACUCUGCUCAUCAACAGGAAGUUUGUUCUUUCUUUUUGAUAGAGGAUGCCAUGGCUUUGCUUCAGAGGAAUGUUUCCUGCCAUAUUUACAAAAGUCAUGGCAAGAACCAGUGGAAGGCUUUUGCUCAACUCCUGUCACCUUCUUUUUCUCUCCCAUCAUACUCCCAGGAGGAGUGGAAAGCUUUUGCUUGACCAAAGUCCCCUUUUUUGCCUCUCCCACCAAGGUCCGUGCAGGACUCUGCUCAUCAGAAGGAAGUUUGUUCUUUCUUUUUGAUAGAGGAUGCCAUGGCUUUGCUCCAGAGGAAUGUUUCCUACCAUAUUUACAGAAGUCAUGGAGUCAUGGCAAGAACCAGUGGAAGGCUUUUGCUCAACUCCUGUCACCUUCUUUUUCUCUCCCAGCACACUCCCAGGAAAAGUGGAAAGCUUUUGCUUGACCAAAGUCCCCUUUUUUGCCUCUCCCACCAAGGUCCGUGUAGGACUCUGCUCAUCAGAAGGAAGUUUGUUCUUUCUUUUUGAUAGAGGAUGCCAUGGCUUUGCUUCAGAGGAAUGUUUCCUACCAUAUUUACAGAAGUCAUGGCAAGAACUAGUGGAAGCUCUCAGAUAAUGAGGAAUAACAUCUUGUCCGCUAUCAGGAGCAUUCAACUUCCC
RNAcentral lists this long non-coding RNA (718 nucleotides) under Capsicum annuum. Its description in RNAcentral is "long non-coding RNA (CANN_LNC022121)". Lineage: Eukaryota; Viridiplantae; Streptophyta; Magnoliopsida; Solanales; Solanaceae. The record is from RNAcentral.